GGAUUGUAGCUUAGUGGUAGAGCACUUGCCUCGUAAGAAUGAAGCACUGGGUUCGAUCCUCAGCACCA
Molecule: transfer RNA, 68 nt
Filed under: Marmota monax (woodchuck)
Lineage: Eukaryota; Metazoa; Chordata; Mammalia; Rodentia; Sciuridae
Description: tRNA.Thr
Rfam family: tRNA (bases 5-65)
About the family: Transfer RNA (tRNA) molecules are approximately 80 nucleotides in length. Their secondary structure includes four short double-helical elements and three loops (D, anti-codon, and T loops).
Source: RNAcentral